RNAcentral lists this ribosomal RNA (111 nucleotides) under Strigamia maritima. The record is from RNAcentral. Lineage: Eukaryota; Metazoa; Arthropoda; Chilopoda; Geophilomorpha; Linotaeniidae.
GAGAACGACCAUACUAUGCUGAAAACACCGGUUCUCGUCCGAUCCCCGAAGCAUCAGGUCUGGUUAGUACUUGGAUGGGUGACCGCCUGGGAAUCCCAGAUGUCGUUCGCU